ACCGAAUAGAUACCCUGGUAGUCCACGCCCUAAACUAUGCGAACUGGAUGUUGGGUACAUUACGGUACUCAGUGUCGAAAGCUAAACGCGUUAAGUUCGCCGCCUGGGGAGUACGGUCGCAAGACUGAAACUCAAAGGAAUUGACGGGGGCCCGCACAAGCGGUGGAGUAUGUGGUUUAAUUCGAUGCAACGCGAAGAACCUUACCUGGCCUUGACAUCUGUCGAAUCCUGCAGAGAUGCGGGAGUGCCGCAAGGAACGACAAGACAGGUGCUGCAUGGCUGUCGUCAGCUCGUGUCGUGAGAUGUUGGGUUAAGUCCCGCAACGAGCGCAACCCUUGUCCCUAGUUGCCAGCACAUCAUGGUGGGAACUCUAGGGAGACUGCCGGUGACAAACCGGAGGAAGGUGGGGAUGACGUCAAGUCCUCAU
This 427-nucleotide ribosomal RNA is filed under the name uncultured bacterium. Its description in RNAcentral is "bacterial SSU rRNA". It matches the Rfam family "Bacterial small subunit ribosomal RNA", at positions 772 to 1196 of the family's 1533-position model. The record is from RNAcentral.